RNAcentral lists this ribosomal RNA (253 nucleotides) under uncultured bacterium. RNAcentral describes it as "partial 16S ribosomal RNA". It matches the Rfam family "Bacterial small subunit ribosomal RNA", at positions 524 to 776 of the family's 1533-position model. The record is from RNAcentral.
UACGGAGGGUGCAAGCGUUGUCCGGAUUUAUUGGGUUUAAAGGGUGCGUAGGCGGUUUAUUAAGUCAGUGGUGAAAGACGGUCGCUCAACGAUUGCAGUGCCAUUGAUACUGGUAGACUUGAGUGAGAUUGAGGUAGCUGGAAUGGAUAGUGUAGCGGUGAAAUGCAUAGAUAUUAUCCAGAACACCAAUUGCGUAGGCAAGUUACUAAGUCUCAACUGACGCUGAGGCACGAAAGCUAGGGGAGCGAAUGGG